UACGAAGGGGGCUAGCGUUGUUCGGAAUCACUGGGCGUAAAGCGCACGUAGGCGGAUCUUUAAGUCAGAGGUGAAAUCCCAAGGCUCAACCUUGGAACUGCCUUUGAUACUGGGGAUCUUGAGUCCGGGAGAGGUGAGUGGAACUGCGAGUGUAGAGGUGAAAUUCGUAGAUAUUCGCAAGAACACCAGUGGCGAAGGCGGCUCACUGGCCCGGUACUGACGCUGAGGUGCGAAAAGCGUGGGGGAGCAAACAGGG
Molecule: ribosomal RNA, 256 nt
Filed under: uncultured bacterium
Lineage: Bacteria
Description: partial 16S ribosomal RNA
Rfam family: Bacterial small subunit ribosomal RNA
Source: RNAcentral